UGGGGAAUAUUGGACAAUGGGGGCAACCCUGAUCCAGCCAUGCCGCGUGGGUGAUGAAGGCCCUAGGGUUGUAAACCCCUUUCACCCGUGACGAUGAUGACGGUAGCGGGAGAAGAAGCCCCGGCUAACUCCGUGCCAGCAGCCGCGGUAAGACGGAGGGGGCUAGCGUUGUUCGGAAUUACUGGGCGUAAAGCGCGCGUAGGCGGCUCUUCAAGUCAGGCGUGAAAGGCCCGGGCUCAACCUGGGAACUGCGCUUGAGACUGGAGGGCUUGAGUCCGGGAGAGGGUGGUGGAACUCCCAGUGUAGAGGUGAAAUUCGUAGAUAUUGGGAAGAACACCGGUGGCGAAGGCGGCCACCUGGCCCGGCACUGACGCUGAGGCGCGAAAGCGUGGGGAGCAAACAGGAUUAGAUACCCCCGUAGUCC
Molecule: ribosomal RNA, 424 nt
Filed under: uncultured prokaryote
Description: bacterial SSU rRNA
Rfam family: Bacterial small subunit ribosomal RNA
Source: RNAcentral